CUUGCUCAGCCUAUUCUCGUCUCCUCUAUUCACUUCCCUGUCUUUCUACACUUAAGAUAGCUACCGCUAGCAUAUCUUCCUUUUUCCUCAUUUUACGUUCUUCCUCCAUCUCCCUAUUCAUAUAUACUGUAUUUGCAAUCUCCAUUAGCUGUAAUAUGGACAACCCUACAAAUCCCUCAAAUUUCUGUAAUUUCCUUUUAAUAUCACCUUGGGCCUGGCUGACAAAUGCUGAGUCUAUCAUUUGGAAGUUUUCAGGGGCUUCAGGAUUGAAAAGAGUGUACAAUCUAUUUGACUCAAACAGUAUCUAAUAUGGGACUUCGGCAAG
This is a non-coding RNA of Pelobates cultripes (western spadefoot toad), 325 nucleotides long. Lineage: Eukaryota; Metazoa; Chordata; Amphibia; Anura; Pelobatidae. The record is from the annotation of a GenBank genome assembly.